This 253-nucleotide ribosomal RNA is filed under the name uncultured bacterium. RNAcentral's name for it is "partial 16S ribosomal RNA". It matches the Rfam family "Bacterial small subunit ribosomal RNA", at positions 524 to 776 of the family's 1533-position model. The record is from RNAcentral.
UACGUAGGGGGCAAGCGUUGUCCGGAAUCAUUGGGCGUAAAGCGCGUGUAGGCGGCCAGAUAAGUCCGCUGUGAAAACUCGAGGCUCAACUUCGAGCUGUCGGUGGAAACUUUCUGGCUAGAGUCCGGAAGAGGAGAAUGGAAUUCCUGGUGUAGCGGUGAAAUGCGCAGAUAUCAGGAAGAACACCCGUGGCGAAGGCGGUUCUCUGGGACGGUACUGACGCUGAGACGCGAAAGCGUGGGGAGCGAACAGG